CCCAUCAGUGAGUUAAUGCGCUGGCUAUAGCUACAUUAGUUCAGGAGUCAGAAGCAGCAGUGAAAGGUUUAAUACAAUAUAGCAGAAGCCCAUCAGUGAGUUAAUGCGCUGGCUAUAGCUACAUUAGUUCAGGAGUCAGAAGCAGCAGUGAAAGGUUUAAUACAAUAUAGCAGAAGCCCAUCAGUGAGUUAAUGCGCUGGCUAUAGCUACAUUAGUUCAGGAGUCAGAAGCAGCAGUGAAAGGUU
Molecule: long non-coding RNA, 245 nt
Organism: Xenopus laevis (African clawed frog)
Lineage: Eukaryota; Metazoa; Chordata; Amphibia; Anura; Pipidae
Exons: 2
Source: RefSeq, a predicted model, not a curated record